Molecule: ribosomal RNA, 612 nt
Filed under: uncultured bacterium
Lineage: Bacteria
Description: bacterial SSU rRNA
Rfam family: Bacterial small subunit ribosomal RNA (bases 1-521)
Source: RNAcentral
CCUACGGGAGGCAGCAGUGGGGAAUUUUCCGCAAUGGGCGAAAGCCUGACGGAGCAACGCCGCGUGGGUGAUGAAGUCUUUCGGGACGUAAAACCCUUUCAGCAGGGACGAAGCGAGUGACGGUACCUGCAGAAGAAGCAUCGGCUAACUACGUGCCAGCAGCCGCGGUAAUACGUAGGAUGCGAGCGUUGUCCGGAUUUAUUGGGCGUAAAGCGAACGUAGGCGGUUUCUUAAGUUUGGUCUUAAAGACCGGGGCUCAACCCCGGGAGUGGACUGAAUACUGGGAGACUAGAGGAUGUUAGAGGAAAGUGGAAUUCCAAGUGUAGCGGUGAAAUGCGUAGAUAUUUGGAGGAACACCAGUGGCGAAAGCGGCUUUCUGGGACAUUUCUGACGCUGAGGUUCGAAAGCUCGGGGAGCAAACAGGAUUAGAUACCCUGGUAGUCCGAGCCGUAAACGAUGGACACUAGGUGUCGGGGGUAUCGACCCCCCGGUGCCGUAGCUAACGCGUUAAGUGUCCCGCCUGGGGGAGGUACGGUCGCGACGACUAGAACUACAAUAGUAAGUUAGUACGGCGUGAGACGUGCCGAACGGACGACAACGAGGGGAAGGAGG